CAUGCGGUGCUUACCAUGCAAGUCGAACGAUGAAGCCCAGCUUGCUGGGUGGAUUAGUGGCGAACGGGUGAGUAACACGUGAGUAACCUAGCCCUUAACUCUGGGAUAAGCCUAGGGAAACUAGGGUCUAAUACCGGAUAGGAGCGUCCACCGCAUAGGUAGGGUAGUUGGAAAGAUUUAUCGGUUUUGGAUGGACUCGCGGCCUAUCAGCUUGUUGGUGAGGUAAUGGCUCACCAAGGCGACGACGGGUAGCCGGCCUGAGAGGGUGACCGGCCACACUGGGACUGAGACACGGCCCAGACUCCUACGGGAGGCAGCAGUGGGGAAUAUUGCACAAUGGGCGAAAGCCUGAUGCAGCGACGCCGCGUGAGGGAUGACGGCCUUCGGGUUGUAAACCUCUUUCAGUAGGGAAGAAGCGAAAGUGACGGUACCUGCAGAAGAAGCACCGGCUAACUACGUGCCAGCAGCCGCGGUAAUACGUAGGGUGCGAGCGUUAUCCGGAAUUAUUGGGCGUAAAGAGCUCGUAGGCGGUUUGUCGCGUCUGUCGUGAAAGUCCGGGGCUUAACCCCGGAUCUGCGGUGGGUACGGGCAGACUAGAGUGCAGUAGGGGAGACUGGAAUUCCUGGUGUAGCGGUGGAAUGCGCAGAUAUCAGGAGGAACACCGAUGGCGAAGGCAGGUCUCUGGGCUGUAACUGACGCUGAGGAGCGAAAGCAUGGGGAGCGAACAGGAUUAGAUACCCUGGUAGUCCAUGCCGUAAACGUUGGGCACUAGGUGUGGGGACCAUUCCACGGUUUCCGCGCCGCAGCUAACGCAUUAAGUGCCCCGCCUGGGGAGUACGGCCGCAAGGCUAAAACUCAAGGAAUUGACGGGGGCCCGCACAAGCGGCGGAGCAUGCGGAUUAAUUCGAUGCAACGCGAGAACCUUACCACGGCUUGACAUGUUCUCGAUCGCCGUAGAGAUACAGCUUCCCCCUUUUUGCGGGAAGAACACCGAUGGCGAAGGCAGGUCUCUGGGCUGUAACUGACGCUGAGGAGCGAAAGCAUGGGGAGCGAACAGGAUUAGAUACCCUGGUAGUCCAUGCCGUAAACGUUGGGCACUAGGUGUGGGGACCAUUCCACGGUUUCCGCGCCGCAGCUAACGCAUUAAGUGCCCCGCCUGGGGAGUACGGCCGCAAGGCUAAAACUCAAAGGAAUUGACGGGGGCCCGCACAAGCGGCGGAGCAUGCGGAUUAAUUCGAUGCAACGCGAAGAACCUUACCAAGGCUUGACAUGUUCUCGAUCGCCGUAGAGAUACGGUUUCCCCUUUGGGGCGGGUUCACAGGUGGUGCAUGGUUGUCGUCAGCUCGUGUCGUGAGAUGUUGGGUUAAGUCCCGCAACGAGCGCAACCCUCGUUCCAUGUUGCCAGCACGUCGUGGUGGGGACUCAUGGGAGACUGCCGGGGUCAACUCGGAGGAAGGUGAGGACGACGUCAAAU
Molecule: ribosomal RNA, 1474 nt
Filed under: Micrococcus luteus
Lineage: Bacteria; Bacillati; Actinomycetota; Actinomycetes; Micrococcales; Micrococcaceae
Description: bacterial SSU rRNA
Rfam family: Bacterial small subunit ribosomal RNA
Source: RNAcentral